CCUACGGGAUGCAGCAGUGGGGAAUAUUGCACAAUGGGGGAAACCCUGAUGCAGCGACGCCGCGUGAGUGAAGAAGUAAUUCGUUAUGUAAAGCUCUAUCAGCAGGGAAGAAAAUGACGAUACCUGAGUAAGACUCCCCGGCUAACUACGUGCCAGCAGCCGCGGUAAUACGUAGGGGGCAAGCGUUAUCCGGAUUUACUGGGUGUAAAGGGAGCGUAGACGGCAGUGCAAGUCUGGGGUGAAAGGCGGGGGCGCAACCCCCGGACUGCUCUGGAAACUGUAAGGCUGGAGUGAAGGAGAGGUAAGUGGAAUUCCUAGUGUAGCGGUGAAAUGCGUAGAUAUUAGGAGGAACACCAGUGGCGAAGGCGGCUUACUGGACUGUAACUGACGUUGAGGCUCGAAAGCGUGGGGAGCAAACAGGAUUAGAUACCCUGGUAGUC
This 440-nucleotide ribosomal RNA is filed under the name uncultured bacterium. RNAcentral describes it as "partial 16S ribosomal RNA". It matches the Rfam family "Bacterial small subunit ribosomal RNA", at positions 338 to 795 of the family's 1533-position model. The record is from RNAcentral.